GGGGAAUCCUGGCUUGGCUGAGCCAAAGCAGGAGCCGGCCUCCCUCCUCACGUGGAGCUGGGACAGGAUCACAAGCAGGAUGUUUGGGUGGCACCUCCACCCUUCCCUCUGUGUGGCCCCUGGGACCUGCAUUGCCUCCAGCCUGGGGCCCUCUCCCUCCCCUGUUUGCCUGCUAGAGCCCAGGGUCUCAGCUCCCUUCACCAGGGCUGCACACCUCCAGAAAGCACACCUGGGCGUGGUAGGGCCCGCAGUCCAGAGAACUUUCGAAGUGCAAAGCCCACCGGCGGCACCUGGAAAGGGGCGGGUGGAGUGCAGGCCAGAAGCUGGGGAUUUUUCCUUAAUAACAACCUGGCGCCCUAAUUCAUUGGCGGCUCUGCCUGCCUGCAAGCUGGCUUGCACCCCCUCUCCCCUCCUGGAGAAGCCUUCAUCUUCAAAGCUUUUUGGGAAACAGUUAAUUAACCCCCACAGCCCUACCACCUGCCCAGAAGGCUGCUGGUUCCCUCUUCUCCAUGGGGCGGGGAAAGGGGAGGGCCAGGGAAACUGAAGCCUGAAGAAAGAGUGUGUGGCUGGGACCUGAGAGAUCGCAGGAUCCCAGACAAGGAAGCUGCCUUCCCUUUCAAUCCCCCCCAGCCCCACCCCUCAAAGGGCUGGUGGGACCCCCAGAGGCCAAGCCACACAGCCAAAGUGCUAAGGGUUGAGGAGCUUAUCUUGCAACACAGUUUAUUUUGGCCUCUCAAUAGCUCUGAAAAGGUGGGGACCAGCUUCCUUGCAUCUCAGGAGGCACUACCUUGGCACUGGCAGAAAUUUCUGGAUGCCCUGGUGGAUCUUCAACUUGAAUGAUGCCAGGCCCAUUCUUAGUGACUCCUGAGCUUGGGGCUCUGACACCUGGUCUCCUUGGAGCCAGAAGGCUCUGGCAUAGACGCUGCCUCUAGCCAGCCCUGGCACCCAGACUGGGACAUCAAGGGCCAAGGCUGCGUGGGUCUCAAGGAGCUGCACCCGUGGAGGCCUGGCCCCAUGUCUUGCUCCUGAUGAGCACCAGUGGAUUGGUGCUGUGCUCUUCUCCUCUUCCCUCUCCACCAGCAGCAGUGGCCCAGCUUGUCAUUGGUCUCCUUGGACACUAAGAUCUGUGGGGCAGUGGAAAGAGCACUGAAUUUGGAGCCAGACCUAGGCUCAAAUCCUGGCCCUGCCAUUUGCUGUCUGUGUAUGACUUUGGAUAAGUCGCUUCACCUUUCCAAAUAAGCCUCAGGAUCCUCAUUGGUAAAAGGGGCACAAUAGCACCUUUGCCUCAAAGGAUUGCCUUGAGGGAUGAACAAGAAUAAUAGAUUCAAAAGCGCCUGGUAUAGUUGGCCUUCAAUGAGGAAUAGCUCCCCCUGUGGCCACUCAGUCUCCCCGAAGGAACUCCUAGUCCAAGGAGGCCCAAAUCUCUCUCCCAGGACUUCACGUGGCUCUUUUACUUCCAGCUCCCUGUCCAUUUCUUGCCCGUUGCUGCUUAUUCUGUGCCCUCUUGUUCUCUGAGCCUCUCAGAGUCAUUGUGUCCACCCUUGAUUCCAAAGAGAACCCUCUAUACAGAUGGAGCUCGAGUAGAAGAUGAUCUGCUCUUAGAGCUUUCUAGAGAGGAUGCUGCCCCCUAAAUCUAGGGCCUCAGGUUUCUGUAUCACUUGUCCCUCUAGGUCAGAAACCUGUCCCUCCAACUGCAGCUCUUGUCUGCUCCUUCUUAUCCUGCUGUCAGGGAGAGGGGAACAGCUGUUUCCCAUCCUCCGAAUAAUAAGCCUGCCGUGCAAAUCGCUUUCCAAAAUCAUUAGGCCACAAAGAUUCUAUUCAGCUGCAAUGUUUGCAUUGGCCCCGCCCUCAUUUCCCAGAGACUGAAAGACAUUCACUCGCAGAGACACUGGCACAGAGACACACCCAAGAGACCGAGAGAUCUC
Long non-coding RNA from Equus caballus (horse), 1925 nucleotides. The record is from Ensembl. NCBI's taxonomy places the organism in Eukaryota, Metazoa, Chordata, Mammalia, Perissodactyla, Equidae.